GUCGAGCGAACCAAUAAGAAGCUUGCUUUUUGUUGGUUAGCGGCGGACGGGUGAGUAACACGUGGGUAACCUGCCUGUAAGACCGGGAUAACUCCGGGAAACCGGUGCUAAUACCGGAUAGAUUAUCUUUCCACCUGGAGAGAUAAGGAAAGAUGGCUUUUGCCAUCACUUACAGAUGGGCCCGCGGCGCAUUAGCUAGUUGGUGAGGUAACGGCUCACCAAGGCGACGAUGCGUAGCCGACCUGAGAGGGUGAUCGGCCACACUGGGACUGAGACACGGCCCGGACUCCUACGGGAGGCAGCAGUAGGGAAUCUUCCGCAAUGGACGAAAGUCUGACGGAGCAACGCCGCGUGAGCGAAGAAGGUCUUCGGAUCGUAAAGCUCUGUUGUUAGGGAAGAACAAGUAUCGGAGGAAAUGCCGGUACCUUGACGGUACCUGACGAGAAAGCCACGGCUAACUACGUGCCAGCAGCCGCGGUAAUACGUAGGUGGCAAGCGUUGUCCGGAAUUAUUGGGCGUAAAGCGCGCGCAGGCGGUCCUUUAAGUCUGAUGUGAAAUCUUGCGGCUCAAC
RNAcentral lists this ribosomal RNA (571 nucleotides) under uncultured bacterium. RNAcentral's name for it is "bacterial SSU rRNA". It matches the Rfam family "Bacterial small subunit ribosomal RNA", at positions 61 to 613 of the family's 1533-position model. The record is from RNAcentral.